This 549-nucleotide ribosomal RNA is filed under the name uncultured Glomeromycotina. RNAcentral's name for it is "SSU rRNA". It matches the Rfam family "Eukaryotic small subunit ribosomal RNA", at positions 548 to 1098 of the family's 1831-position model. Lineage: Eukaryota; Fungi; Glomeromycota. The record is from RNAcentral.
UUGGAGGGCAAGUCUGGUGCCAGCAGCCGCGGUAAUUCCAGCUCCAAUAGCGUAUAUUAAAGUUGUUGCAGUUAAAAAGCUCGUAGUUGAAUUUCGGGAUCAAUAUACCGGUCGUGCCUCAGGUAUGAACUGGUCUUAUUGGUUUCUCCCUUCUGACGAACCAUGAUGUCAUUAAUUUGAUGUCGUGGAGAAUCAGGACUGUUACUUUGAAAAAAUUAGAGUGUUUAAAGCAGGCUAACGCUUGAAUACAUUAGCAUGGAAUAAUGAAAUAGGACGUUCGAUCCUAUUUUGUUGGUUUCUAGGAUCGACGUAAUGAUUAAUAGGGAUAGUUGGAGGCAUUAGUAUUCAAUUGUCAGAGGUGAAAUUCUUGGAUUUAUUGAAGACUAACUACUGCGAAAGCAUUUGCCAAGGAUGUUUUCAUUAAUCAAGAACGAAAGUUAGGGGAUCGAAGACGAUCAGAUACCGUCGUAGUCUUAACCAUAAACUAUGCCGACUAGGGAUCGGAUGAUGUUAAUUUUAUAAUGACUCAUUCGGCGCCUUACGGGAAAC